RNAcentral lists this long non-coding RNA (1423 nucleotides) under Brassica napus (rape). RNAcentral's name for it is "long non-coding RNA (BNAP_LNC018978)". Lineage: Eukaryota; Viridiplantae; Streptophyta; Magnoliopsida; Brassicales; Brassicaceae. The record is from RNAcentral.
UUGGCAGUUUCCACUUGAGACCACUUAUCAGUAACUCAACACACUCCAUAAGCUUCAACUUUGACUAGUAUAGAUUAGCCUAUGACGCUUGACGUGUUACUGCAAUUAAGGUCUUCAAAUAAUCUGCCAAAACCUGAACUGAUGCUUGCUUGAAACUCUUUAGGAACUUGAAUCUUUUUCCUCAAACCAGAAGCUCCUUGAUUCAAAACUUUUGAAACCAAUCUCAACAGCCAGUAGACACCAACUGCUUAACCUGCGAUUUUCCUUACAACAACUUGAAUGAACACACUGACUUGAACACCACUCUGCACCGCUGCUGUUGCCAACAGAACACGCCGCUUAACACAACACGGUUAAGAAGACUUUCGAUACAAGAUCUCUGCUCAAACUCUGCCCAAACAAAUCAUUGCAACCCUGCAACCUGAAUCCUCUGUAGACCCAUUUGAUUCACCUCAAAAAGCACCUGAUAUCAGAAUCAAAAAUACUACUGACAUCUCUUGCAGAAAACCAGAAACAUAUAAGUUUCCUCCCUGAUUCAACUAGCCUUCUGUCUAGCCAAGUCAGCCUUGAAACCUGAACUUGAACCGAUGUUGAAACUCAACAAAUCACGCCCCAUAGCUCCACCUUGUUGUGAGUACUUCCGACCCUACUUCCCUUUCCAAUUCCUUGAGCAAACAAGACAGUACCAGUAGCUCGAAAAACAAUUUGUGUACUCUUUAACCGUAUCUCUCAUCAUAAGAACCUGAGAUACUCAAGAGAUACUUUCUUUACAGCUUCUUUCACAUCAAUAUCGAGCCCAUGAUGUGUUUCCCCUGCUGUGCCAGACCUGCAACACAUUUAAUAGUGUGUAAACUCCACCAAAAAAUUUGGUACUUGCAUCAUAGAUCUUCUCACAGCUGAACCGAAGACUCUUCUUGGCUCAACAACUUUUCCUCUAGUGUUCUUCACACUUAGGCUCCACACUUGUUAAUCCUGCAAGUGUCUUUCUUACUGAGAAGAUUUCCACUUCCUCCUGAUGCACACAUACAAAUUAGCACUUCUCAAGUUGCUGUCUCAGAAACCAGUUCAUAACAUGUUUCUUCUUCAGCCUUCUCUAGGACUUCAAACCAGUUGCACAUGCUGUGAAAAGCCUUGUCUUUAUGCUGUUUUCACACGCCACAUUAUACCUUCUGAAGUGAUUUACUUUGAGAAACUUCAGCAAGCCCUAGCUUCUCUUAAUUCUCGUUAGAGAAAAAAAUACCAAGAUCACUUCUAUAUACUUCAUCUCAGACAUUCACAAAACCUGCAUGCAACUUUCUAUUGUUUCAGCAACCUUGACUUCUUGUAGUUUUAGAGCCUGCUCACAUUUGAUUUAUGCCAAAGCUCAGACUGAUAUUCAUCAAUCUUCACCUUAUACCAUAGAUCAAAACACCUUUGAUUUCUU